RNAcentral lists this ribosomal RNA (310 nucleotides) under Klebsiella pneumoniae. Its description in RNAcentral is "partial 23S ribosomal RNA". It matches the Rfam family "Bacterial large subunit ribosomal RNA", at positions 2370 to 2679 of the family's 2925-position model. Lineage: Bacteria; Pseudomonadati; Pseudomonadota; Gammaproteobacteria; Enterobacterales; Enterobacteriaceae. The record is from RNAcentral.
UGACUGCGAGACCUACAAGUCGAGCAGGGACGAAAGUCGGGCUUAGUGAUCCGGUGGUUCCGCAUGGAAGGGCCAUCGCUCAACGGAUAAAAGCUACCCCGGGGAUAACAGGCUUAUCUCCCCCAAGAGUCCACAUCGACGGGGAGGUUUGGCACCUCGAUGUCGGCUCAUCGCAUCCUGGGGCUGUAGUCGGUCCCAAGGGUUGGGCUGUUCGCCCAUUAAAGCGGUACGCGAGCUGGGUUUAGAACGUCGUGAGACAGUUCGGUCCCUAUCCGUCGUGGGCGUAGGAAAUUUGAGAGGAGCUGUCCUU